Molecule: ribosomal RNA, 280 nt
Filed under: uncultured bacterium
Lineage: Bacteria
Description: partial 16S ribosomal RNA
Rfam family: Bacterial small subunit ribosomal RNA
Source: RNAcentral
GAUAAACGCUGGCGGCGUGCCUAAUGCAUGCAAGUCGCACGGAGCGGCACUUCGGUGCCGUUGAGUGGCGAACGGGUGAGGAACGCGUGGACAACCUACCCGGCGUGGGGAGUACCCGCCAGAAAUGGCGGCUAAUACCGCGUACGGUCGCCCGACGGCGGGUCGGGCGGAAGAAAGACAGCGAUGCGCGUUGGGUAGGGGUCGUGCGGCCGAUUAGCUGGUUGGCGGGGUAGGUGGCCCACCAAGGCGAUGAUCGGUAGCUGGUCUGAGAGGAUGAUCA